This 497-nucleotide ribosomal RNA is filed under the name uncultured bacterium. Its description in RNAcentral is "partial 16S ribosomal RNA". It matches the Rfam family "Bacterial small subunit ribosomal RNA", at positions 28 to 507 of the family's 1533-position model. The record is from RNAcentral.
GAUGAACGCUGGCGGCGUGCCUAAUACAUGCAAGUCGAGCGAACAGACGAGGAGCUUGCUCCUCUGACGUUAGCGGCGGACGGGUGAGUAACACGUGGAUAACCUACCUAUAAGACUGGGAUAACUUCGGGAAACCGGAGCUAAUACCGGAUAAUAUAUUGAACCGCAUGGUUCAAUAGUGAAAGACGGUUUUGCUGUCACUUAUAGAUGGAUCCGCGCCGUAUUAGCUAGUUGGUAAGGUAACGGCUUACCAAGGCAACGAUGCGUAGCCGACCUGAGAGGGUGAUCGGCCACACUGGAACUGAGACACGGUCCAGACUCCUACGGGAGGCAGCAGUAGGGAAUCUUCCGCAAUGGGCGAAAGCCUGACGGAGCAACGCCGCGUGAGUGAUGAGGGUCUUCGGAUCGUAAAACUCUGUUAUUAGGGAAGAACAAAUGUGUAAGUAACUAUGCACGUCUUGACGGUACCUAAUCAGAAAGCCACGGCUAACUACGUG